This 322-nucleotide ribosomal RNA is filed under the name uncultured eukaryote. RNAcentral's name for it is "partial 18S ribosomal RNA". It matches the Rfam family "Eukaryotic small subunit ribosomal RNA", at positions 1470 to 1796 of the family's 1831-position model. The record is from RNAcentral.
CCCUUAGAUGUUCUGGGCCGCACGCGUGCUACACUGAGUAAUUCAAUGGGUAAGGGAACGCUAGAGCAUUACCUAAUCUUGAAAUUUGCUCGUGAUGGGGAUCGACGGUUGCAAUUUUCCGUCGUGAACGAGGAAUACCUUGUAGGCGCAUGUCAUCAUCAUGCGCCGAAUACGUCCCUGCCCUUUGUACACACCGCCCGUCGCUCCUACCGAUUGAGUGAUCCGGUGAGGCUCUGGGACCUGGACGGAAAGAGCGUUUCGCUUGUUCUGUUUGGGAAAAUUGGUCGAACCUUAUCAUUUAGAGGAAGGAGAAGUCGUAACA